CACAGCCCAGUUGGAAUUCACUUUAUCUUUCCCUCUGCCCUAUACGCUGAGCAAACAUGUGCAGUUGGCAUUUCAGCAGUGGAAAUUCUCUGACCCCCUUUGCUGUUGCCUAAAACAGAAACCUCAGUGGCUUUGCAGGAAAUAUUCCACAGUCUCCUGCAACCUAAAUAAAGAGGAUUGAAGGGGAAAUGUUCAAUUUUACCGCUUUGUUCUGCUGGGUUCUUCUCCCCAGGACACUGUUUAGUGCACUGAGUGAAGUAGAAAAUGAAGAGCAGGUGAGCAAUCAGCUGUGAAAAGCUUUAAUGGGCCCGGCACCCCUUUGGGAAUGAGG
RNAcentral lists this long non-coding RNA (331 nucleotides) under Homo sapiens (human). Its description in RNAcentral is "HSALNT0212255". Lineage: Eukaryota; Metazoa; Chordata; Mammalia; Primates; Hominidae. The record is from RNAcentral.